Molecule: ribosomal RNA, 422 nt
Filed under: uncultured eukaryote
Lineage: Eukaryota
Description: SSU rRNA
Rfam family: Eukaryotic small subunit ribosomal RNA
Source: RNAcentral
CAAUAGCGUAUAUUAAUGUUGUUGCUGUUAAAAAGCUCGUAGUUGGAUUUCUGCCGAGGACGACUGGUCCGCCCUCUGGGUGAGUAUCUAGCUCGGCCUGGGCAUCUUCUUGGAGAACGUAGCUGCACUUGAGUGUGUGGUGCGGUAUCCAGGACUUUUACGUUGAGGAAAUUAGAGUGUUUCAAGCAGGCACACGCCUUGAAUACAUUAGCAUGGAAUAAUAAGAUAGGACCUCGGUCCAAUUUUGUUGGUUUCUAGAGCUGAGGUAAUGAUUGAUAAGGAUAAUUGGGGGCAUUCGUAUUUAACUGUCAGAGGUGAAAUUCUUGGAUUUGUUAAAGACGGACUACUGCGGAAGCAUUUGCCAAGGAUGUUUUCAGUGAUCAAGAACGAAAGUUAGGGGAUCGAAGAUGAUUAGAUACCGU